GAGUUUGAUCAUGGCUCAGAUUGAACGCUGGCGGCAGGCCUAACACAUGCAAGUCGGGCGGUAGAGAGAAGCUUGCUUCUCUUGAGAGCGGCGGACGGGUGAGUAAUGCCUAGGAAUCUGCCUGGUAGUGGGGGAUAACGCUCGGAAACGGACGCUAAUACCGCAUACGUCCUACGGGAGAAAGCAGGGGACCUUCGGGCCUUGCGCUAUCAGAUGAGCCUAGGUCGGAUUAGCUAGUUGGUGAGGUAAUGGCUCACCAAGGCGACGAUCCGUAACUGGUCUGAGAGGAUGAUCAGUCACACUGGAACUGAGACACGGUCCAGACUCCUACGGAGGCAGCAGUGGGGAAUAUUGGACAAUGGGCGAAAGCCUGAUCCAGCCAUGCCGCGUGUGUGAAGAAGGUCUUCGGAUUGUAAAGCACUUUAAGUUGGGAGGAAGGGCAGUAAAUUAAUACUUUGCUGUUUUGACGUUACCGACAGAAUAAGCACCGGCUAACUCUGUGCCAGCA
Molecule: ribosomal RNA, 508 nt
Filed under: uncultured bacterium
Lineage: Bacteria
Description: bacterial SSU rRNA
Rfam family: Bacterial small subunit ribosomal RNA
Source: RNAcentral